This 458-nucleotide ribosomal RNA is filed under the name uncultured bacterium. Its description in RNAcentral is "partial 16S ribosomal RNA". It matches the Rfam family "Bacterial small subunit ribosomal RNA", at positions 338 to 795 of the family's 1533-position model. The record is from RNAcentral.
CCUACGGGAGGCAGCAGUGAGGAAUAUUGGUCAAUGGGCGAGAGCCUGAACCAGCCAAAUCGCGUGAGGGAGUACUGCCCUAUGGGUUGUAAACCUCUUUUGUCGGGGAGCAAAAGCCGGACGUGUCCGGCUGUGAGAGUACCCGAAGAAAAAGCAUCGGCUAACUCCGUGCCAGCAGCCGCGGUAAUACGGAGGAUGCGAGCGUUAUCCGGAUUUAUUGGGUUUAAAGGGUGCGCAGGCGGAUUUUUAAGUCAGCGGUAAAAUCGUGGGGCUCAACCCCAUCCAGCCGUUGAAACUGGGGAUCUAGAGUGUGCGAGAGGUAUGCGGAAUGCGUGGUGUAGCGGUGAAAUGCAUAGAUAUCACGCAGAACCCCGAUUGCGAAGGCAGCAUACCGGUGCACAACUGACGCUCAGGCACGAAAGCGUGGGUAUCGAACAGGAUUAGAUACCCGAGUAGUC